Molecule: non-coding RNA, 916 nt
Organism: Sus scrofa (pig)
Lineage: Eukaryota; Metazoa; Chordata; Mammalia; Artiodactyla; Suidae
Source: RefSeq, a predicted model, not a curated record
AGGGUGUGGCCCUAAAAAGACAAAAAAAGAAAAAAGGAAGAAAGAUGCUUGUUUUGAGAUGUCAUCAUAUAUAUCCCACAUACAGCAUCUAAUAGAGGGAAAAAUAUAAGCUGGCACAGUUGUCCAAGGAAAUUAAGAGAGACUCUCUUAGAAUAGAAUCAGCUGGGGCCUUUUCUGCCCGCUCCCUCUUCCAGCCCCGAGCUCCACUCUGGCUGCACCACGUUCACUCUGAGCUCCUGGCUCCUGCUAAGCUAGUGCCGCCGGCUGUCAUCCCCCUCCAGCUGCCAUCAUGAUCAUCUCCCGGGACCUCAUCAGCCAUGAAAUGUUCUCCGACAUCUGCAAGACCCGGGAGAUCGUGGAUGGGCUGUGUCUGGAGGUGGAGGGGAAGAUGGUCAGUAGGACAGAGGAUGACAUUGAUGACUCGCCCAUUGGUGGAAAUGCCUCCGCUGAAGGGCCCGAGGGUGAAGGUACCGAAAGCACAGCAAUCACUGGUGUCGAUAUUGUUAUGGACCAUCACCUGCAGGAAACCAGCUUCAUGAAGGAAGCCUACAAGAAGUACACCAAAGAUUACAUGAAGUCAAUCAAAGGGAAGCUUGAAGAACAGAGAGCAGAAAGAGUAAAACCUUUUAUGACAGGAGCUGCAGAACAAAUCAAGCACAUCCUUGCUAAUUUCAAAAACUGUCAGUUCUUCAUUGGUGAAAACAUGAAUCCAGACGGCAUGGUUGCUCUGCUGGACUGUCAUGAGGAUAGUGUGACUCUGUAUAUGAUUUCCUUUAAGGAUGGCUUAGAAAUGGAAAAAUAUUAACAAAUUUGGCUGUUACUUUGGACCUAUCACCUGUAGUCAUAACUGGCUGGCCGCUGCUUUUUAUCCAGAAAACAUCAGGACUUAGAGACAAAUGGGACCGAUGGCAUCCUG